Molecule: unclassified non-coding RNA, 284 nt
Filed under: plant metagenome
Description: partial contains small subunit ribosomal RNA, internal transcribed spacer 1, and 5.8S ribosomal RNA
Rfam family: Eukaryotic small subunit ribosomal RNA (bases 1-53)
Source: RNAcentral
GGAGUAAAAGUCGUAACAAGGUUUCCGUAGGUGAACCUGCGGAAGGAUCAUUAUUGUAUAACCGAGGUGCGAGGGCUGUCGCUGACCCGAAAGGUCGUGCACGCCCGAGUGCCCUCACACACAUCCAUCUCACCCCUAUGUGCACCACCGCGUGGGUCCCCCUUUGGCUCGUUCGGAGGGGGGCUUACGUUUUCACACAAACUUUGUAUGCAGUGUAGAAUGUAUUUUUUGUUUUUGCGAUCACGCAAUCAAUACAACUUUCAACAACGGAUCUCUUGGCUCUC